GGCCCAGAUCGUUUACCGUGAAGAAAUUAGAGUGUUCAAAGCGGGCGCGAAAGCAAUUUCUCGCCGUUGAAUACGUCAGCAUGGGAUAAUGGAAUAGGACCCCGCCCUCCUAUUUUCCGUUGGUUUCCGGGAGCGGGGUAAUGAUUGAUAGGGAUAGUUGGGGGCAUCGAUAUUUAAUUGUCAGAGGUGAAAUUCUUGGAUUUAUGAAAGAUCGACUUCCGCGAAAGCAUUUGCCAAGGAUGUUUUCAUUAAUCAAGAACGAAAGUUAGGGGAUCGAAGACGAUCAGAUACCGUCGUAGUCUUAACCAUAAACCGUGCCGACCAGCGAUCGGGAGACGUCGCAUGGAUGACUCCCCUAGCAGCUUGUGAGA
RNAcentral lists this ribosomal RNA (371 nucleotides) under Protacanthamoeba bohemica. Its description in RNAcentral is "SSU rRNA". It matches the Rfam family "Eukaryotic small subunit ribosomal RNA", at positions 740 to 1095 of the family's 1831-position model. Lineage: Eukaryota; Discosea; Longamoebia; Acanthamoebidae. The record is from RNAcentral.